Molecule: long non-coding RNA, 219 nt
Organism: Cercocebus atys (sooty mangabey)
Lineage: Eukaryota; Metazoa; Chordata; Mammalia; Primates; Cercopithecidae
Exons: 4
Source: RefSeq, a predicted model, not a curated record
CAGAGACCACAACUUUCACAAGAGGCAGGGGCAGUACAGAAACUGACUCCAGAGCAGCCACCACCAGGGCAGCUCCUGGCACAACUCUUGCCCCUGGCAGUUCCAACACGGGGGCCACAGCUUCCCUAGGUGGAAGUGCAACGACAAGAGGUAGAAUAACCACCGCUACCACUGGGGCAUUCUCUGGAAAGACUCUGGAGCCUGGGAACGACAACACAG